Molecule: non-coding RNA, 72 nt
Organism: Phrynosoma platyrhinos (Desert horned lizard)
Lineage: Eukaryota; Metazoa; Chordata; Lepidosauria; Squamata; Phrynosomatidae
Source: the annotation of a GenBank genome assembly
GCCAAUGUGGCAUAGUGGUUUGAGAGUCAGACUAUGGCUCUGGAGAGCAGAGUUCAGAUCCCUGCUUGGCCA